Molecule: ribosomal RNA, 465 nt
Filed under: Vreelandella stevensii
Lineage: Bacteria; Pseudomonadati; Pseudomonadota; Gammaproteobacteria; Oceanospirillales; Halomonadaceae
Description: partial 16S ribosomal RNA
Rfam family: Bacterial small subunit ribosomal RNA
Source: RNAcentral
CCUACGGGUGGCAGCAGUGGGGAAUAUUGGACAAUGGGGGCAACCCUGAUCCAGCCAUGCCGCGUGUGUGAAGAAGGCCCUCGGGUUGUAAAGCACUUUCAGUGAGGAAGAACGCCUGGUGGUUAAUACCCAUCAGGAAAGACAUCACUCACAGAAGAAGCACCGGCUAACUCCGUGCCAGCAGCCGCGGUAAUACGGAGGGUGCGAGCGUUAAUCGGAAUUACUGGGCGUAAAGCGCGCGUAGGUGGCUUGAUAAGCCGGUUGUGAAAGCCCCGGGCUCAACCUGGGAACGGCAUCCGGAACUGUCAAGCUAGAGUGCAGGAGAGGAAGGUAGAAUUCCCGGUGUAGCGGUGAAAUGCGUAGAGAUCGGGAGGAAUACCUGUGGCGAAGGCGGCCUUCUGGACUGACACUGACACUGAGGUGCGAAAGCGUGGGUAGCAAACAGGAUUAGAUACCCUGGUAGUC